Molecule: long non-coding RNA, 1307 nt
Organism: Astatotilapia calliptera (eastern happy)
Lineage: Eukaryota; Metazoa; Chordata; Actinopteri; Cichliformes; Cichlidae
Source: Ensembl
GGCCCAGACUGGCAGUUUUAAGAUAUUUUAGUACUAUAAGCUCCUGCAAUGGAACAUAACUUUAACAGCUGAUUUGAGGAUCUGCUGAACAGUUGGGGAAUUGAAGACAUUAAAGUAUAAAUUUGUGAGAUCGAGGGCACUUCUAGAGGUAAGUUGAGUCAGCGGUGUUCACAUCUGACUGUUCUACAUCUACACAUAGAGGGGGGGGAGCACUUCAGGUGAUAAUUGCCCUUCCUUCCUCAACGUAUAAAUGAACUCUUCACUCCUGCAUUUUCUUUCCCACCAAUUAGAGAUGUCUGUGGUGGCAGAGCACCACAUUGCACUCUUGGACCUUCGUCAACAGGGGGAUGAGGCGAUUCUGUGCUCGUGUGAAACGGUGCUGGCAGUAUCUGCUGCUCGCAUUCAUUCCCAUAUAAACUCUUCUUCUUUUUUCUUUUUUUUGCGGUUUCCUCCCCCAGCGAUGCAGACAGCACAAUGGUCUCACUGAGCGGUGACGAUUAACACAUAAAAGCGACACGGGGAAUCUCGCUGCUAGAUACUAGCGCACAUGAGAGGGCAAAGCAUUCAUAGCAUGCCAAGAAGUUCAGUGGGAGCCCCUUCUAUCUGAUUGGUGAUCUUUUGUUUUGGCGUUGCCCUCGAUUCGGGGGAACGUGCCCAAUCAGAUUAUGGAGAGGGAGGCAGAGCGAGACGACAAUCGCCGUUUUCUAUUUACUCUGUCUAUCUCCAAACGGCUUCACUUAAGGCGGCCACAGAUAAGUCAAAGCGUCUCCAUCCUGGUGCUUCAACGACCUCCUCCCCUACUUCCCUCAGACACUGAGGCUGGAUUAAACUCAAACUUGAGCACAAGCAGACGAUCAUGUUUUAACCCCAAACUCCUCCAAGCUGACAGCAGCAGUCGUGGCAACCUCCCCGUCCUGACCCCGUCUCCCGUCAACGUUUCAAUCCAAGUCUCAGCCCUGGCGUAAGCCCGACAUCAGGUAGGUAGGCUAGUUUAAAAAAAAAAAAAAAACCGGGGAGAGCAAACACGCUGCAAUCUCGCGUGUAAAAAAAACAUAAAUGACUUUGCAUAAACACAGGCAGACAUAUGAGUGCAUACUCUACAUAUGUAUGUUAAUGGUGAUAUAAUGUGUGCGUAUUAUGCAUGCAGAUGACUCAUAAUCCGAUAUGUUAAUAAAUUUGUGUCACUGAUUUGAAUAUUAAAUUAUGUUUUUAAAUAUAUAUGUGCAAUUAGAUGUAGCUUUUAUGGAUUAUGUGCUUAUAGUUUUGAAUACGAUGCGUUUUUGUACCUAAAAGUACAUUUAAAAAAU